CUCGAAGUUUAUGGGAGGUUUAGCCUGCCCACUGAAAGAUGUAAAGGGCCGCGGUAUUUUGACCGUGCAAAGGUAGCAUAAUCAUUAGUCUUCUAAUUAAAGGCUGGAAUGAAUGGCUGGACGAGGUAUUAGCUGUCUCUUAGGGAUAAAUUUGAAUUUAACUUUCUAGUGAAAAGGCUGGAAUGAAAUUGGAGGACGAGAAGACCCUAUAGAGCUUUACACUUUCUUUUAUUUUAAUUCAUUUAGCAGGAGUUUAUUUUUGUAGGGGGAGUGUUUCGUUGGGGUGACGGGAAGAUAAGGUAAACUCUUCUUUAGAAAAACCACCGAUGAGUGAUUUGAUUGAUCCAUUUUUAGUGAUUAAAAGACUAAGUUACCUUAGGGAUAACAGCGUAAUCUUUUUUGAGAGUUCUAAUCGACAAAAAGGGUUGCGACCUCGAUGUUGGACUAAGGAUUAUUCUUGGGUGCAGAAGUUCAAGGUUUAGGUCUGUUCGACCUUUGAAUCCUUA
This 506-nucleotide ribosomal RNA is filed under the name Maccaffertium mexicanum integrum. RNAcentral's name for it is "partial 16S ribosomal RNA". It matches the Rfam family "Bacterial large subunit ribosomal RNA", at positions 1837 to 2598 of the family's 2925-position model. Lineage: Eukaryota; Metazoa; Arthropoda; Insecta; Ephemeroptera; Heptageniidae. The record is from RNAcentral.